GGAUCCCAGCGGCCGUCCUGUAGCUGAGCAGGCCUGGGGCUUGGUUCUAUGUCCCUGUGGCUAUGUUUCCAGUGUCCUCUGGGUGUUUCCAAGAGCAACAAGAAACGAAUAAAUCUCUGAUGGAUUUUCCCUCUUGUUGCCCAGGCUGGAGUGCAAUGGUGUGAUCUCGGUUCACUGCAACCCCCUGCCUCCCGGGUUCAAGCAAU
This 206-nucleotide long non-coding RNA is filed under the name Homo sapiens (human). RNAcentral's name for it is "HSALNT0409324". Lineage: Eukaryota; Metazoa; Chordata; Mammalia; Primates; Hominidae. The record is from RNAcentral.